RNAcentral lists this ribosomal RNA (492 nucleotides) under uncultured bacterium. RNAcentral describes it as "partial 16S ribosomal RNA". It matches the Rfam family "Bacterial small subunit ribosomal RNA", at positions 29 to 507 of the family's 1533-position model. The record is from RNAcentral.
AGUGAACGCUGGCGGUAGGCCUAACACAUGCAAGUCGAACGGCAGCACAGUAAGAGCUUGCUCUUACGGGUGGCGAGUGGCGGACGGGUGAGGAAUACAUCGGAAUCUACUUUUUCGUGGGGGAUAACGUAGGGAAACUUACGCUAAUACCGCAUACGACCUACGGGUGAAAGCAGGGGAUCUUCGGACCUUGCGCGACUGAAUGAGCCGAUGUCGGAUUAGCUAGUUGGCGGGGUAAAGGCCCACCAAGGCGACGAUCCGUAGCUGGUCUGAGAGGAUGAUCAGCCACACUGGAACUGAGACACGGUCCAGACUCCUACGGGAGGCAGCAGUGGGGAAUACUGGACAAUGGGCGCAAGCCUGAUCCAGCCAUACCGCGUGGGUGAAGAAGGCCUUCGGGUUGUAAAGCCCUUUUGUUGGGAAAGAAAAGCAGCAGGUUAAUACCCCGCUGUUCUGACGGUACCCAAAGAAUAAGCACCGGCUAACUUCGUG